RNAcentral lists this transfer RNA (77 nucleotides) under Candidatus Borkfalkia excrementigallinarum. RNAcentral describes it as "tRNA-Arg". It matches the Rfam family "tRNA". From Rfam's summary of the family: Transfer RNA (tRNA) molecules are approximately 80 nucleotides in length. Their secondary structure includes four short double-helical elements and three loops (D, anti-codon, and T loops). The record is from RNAcentral. Lineage: Bacteria; Bacillati; Bacillota; Clostridia; Christensenellales; Christensenellaceae.
GCUCCGUUAGUUCAAUCGGAUAGAGCAUUCGCCUUCGGAGCGAAGUGUUGGGGGUUCGAAUCCCUCACGGAGCGCCA